Molecule: ribosomal RNA, 501 nt
Filed under: Cylindrostethus costalis
Lineage: Eukaryota; Metazoa; Arthropoda; Insecta; Hemiptera; Gerridae
Description: partial 16S ribosomal RNA
Source: RNAcentral
AAUUUAAUGGUCGAACAGACCAAGAAAAUGAAAUACUACACCCAAAUCUUAUCUUAAUUCAACAUCGAGGUCGCAAACUUAUUCAUAGAUAUGAACUCUCCGAAAAAAUUACGCUGUUAUCCCUAAGGUAGAUUAAUCUUUUAAUCAAAAAUUCUGGAUCAAAAAAACAUAAAUUAAUGAAAAAAAAAUUAAAAGUUUAAAAAAUUUUAAUGUCACCCCAACAAAACUUUAUAUUCUAAAAAUUUAUAUCAAAAACAAAAAACAAAAAAUUAUAUAUAAAGUAAAUCUCUAUAGGGUCUUCUCGUCCUAUAAAAAUAUUUUAGCUUUUUAACUAAAAAAUUAAAUUCAAAAUAUUAAUCAAAGAAAGUUUAUCUUUCAUCAAACCAUUCAUACAAGCCUCCAAUUAAAAGACAAAUGAUUAUGCUACCUUCGUACAGUUAAAAUACCGCAGCCUUUUAAUUCUUAAAAAUCAAUGGGCAGGCCCGAUCUUAAAUUAUUAUC